UGGGGAAUAUUGGACAAUGGGCGAAAGCCUGAUCCAGCCAUGCCGCGUGUGUGAAGAAGGUCUUCGGAUUGUAAAGCACUUUAAGUUGGGAGGAAGGGCAGUUACCUAAUACGUAUCUGUUUUGACGUUACCGACAGAAUAAGCACCGGCUAACUCUGUGCCAGCAGCCGCGGUAAUACAGAGGGUGCAAGCGUUAAUCGGAAUUACUGGGCGUAAAGCGCGCGUAGGUGGUUUGUUAAGUUGGAUGUGAAAUCCCCGGGCUCAACCUGGGAACUGCAUUCAAAACUGACAAGCUAGAGUAUGGUAGAGGAUGGUGGAAUUUCCUGUGUAGCGGUGAAAUGCGUAGAUAUAGGAAGGAACACCAGUGGCGAAGGCGACCACCUGGACUGAUACUGACACUGAGGUGCGAAAGCGUGGGGAGCAAACAGGAUUAGAUACCCCCGUAGUCCCUGAGCGGGCUGGCAAGGCGCAU
RNAcentral lists this ribosomal RNA (472 nucleotides) under uncultured bacterium. RNAcentral describes it as "bacterial SSU rRNA". It matches the Rfam family "Bacterial small subunit ribosomal RNA", at positions 355 to 825 of the family's 1533-position model. The record is from RNAcentral.